AGUGAACGCUGGCGGUAGGCCUAACACAUGCAAGUCGAACGGCAGCACAGUAAGAGCUUGCUCUUACGGGUGGCGAGUGGCGGACGGGUGAGGAAUACAUCGGAAUCUACUUUUUCGUGGGGGAUAACGUAGGGAAACUUACGCUAAUACCGCAUACGACCUACGGGUGAAAGCAGGGGAUCUUCGGACCUUGCGCGAUUGAAUGAGCCGAUGUCGGAUUAGCUAGUUGGCGGGGUAAAGGCCCACCAAGGCGACGAUCCGUAGCUGGUCUGAGAGGAUGAUCAGCCAAAAUGGAAACGAGACACGGUCCCAGAUCCUAAGGGGAGCAGCAGGGGGGGAUAUUUGGCAAUGGGCGCAAGCCUGAUCCAGCCAUACCGCGUGGGUGAAGAAGGCCUUCGGGUUGUAAAGCCCUUUUGUUGGGAAAGAAAAGCAGCAGGUUAAUACCCCGCUGUUCUGACGGUACCCAAAGAAUAAGCACCGGCUAACUUCGUG
RNAcentral lists this ribosomal RNA (492 nucleotides) under uncultured bacterium. RNAcentral describes it as "partial 16S ribosomal RNA". It matches the Rfam family "Bacterial small subunit ribosomal RNA", at positions 29 to 507 of the family's 1533-position model. The record is from RNAcentral.